AAUCGAUUUAUCAUACACCAACCAUUAUAUGGUUCUUUCAUCUUUGUACCAUUAUCUUAUUAGCAAAUAAAUAAUAUGGAUGCAAAGUUAGGGGUGAAAUUCAAACCCUCAGGGUGGAGGAAAAAGUUGAUGGGUGGUGUCGCGAUGUUGAAUCAGUCUCUUCUGGGAGGCAACCCAACAUUUAGUAAGUAGUUUAUUUUUAAUUUUUAUAUGUUUUAUUGGUAUCACCAUUAUCUUUAUUUUAUUUGGUAUUUACAGAUUGAUAGUAAGUUUGAUGUACCAUAAAUCUAAGCUAAAAAGUGUGUCAAAACAUAAGUAUGGGGUUCUCCAAACCUCCUUGAUGGAUAUGCUACUAGCUAGGCCUAGAGGCCUUAGGGAGUAUCCAUAAUAUUUAUUCUUUGAUUUCUACUUUAAGGACAAAGUAUUAUUUUAAGUGUGAGGUAGGGAAUCUUCUGAUUUGUUUAGGGUGAAGUGCGCUUUAGGAUUUUCAUUUUAAUUUAUUUUCUAAUAUUUGACUAAAUUCAAAUAUUAUAAAAUAAUUUUAUAUUUGUUUAUUUUUAGUUUAUAUUAGUGUCUGCUUAGUAGAGGUAUACUUCACCCAUCCCUCAUUUUUUCUUUGCGAUUCUUUUCUAAGGGGAGACCUUUGAACCCAAUAUCCCUUUUGAUUUUUAGAAGUAAUUUUAAAAGUUUUGACAUUAGGAAUAAAUAAAGAUACUCUAGAUAGGUGAAAUAAAUGAUUACUUGUUGAAGUGGUGUUGAAUUCUAUGGCAUGAUGUGAAAAUUGAAUGACUUCUAUGUGAUAUCUAGGUUCUUUAAUCGGACACUUGUUUGAUUUUGGCUAAAAAUUAAAUUCUUCUGAUACUUUGGUUGAGAGUAUAUAGAUAUCCUUCUAGAGUUAAACAUGUGUCGUAUGUGUUGAGGUUUUUGUUAUAUUCCAUAUUCGUAUAUUGAUGUCUAGAACUUGCUCGGUGUGUUUGCAAAGCAAAAUAAAUAAUGUUGGCUUUAGGAGAUGAUAUAGGCACUUCUUUGAUAGCGCUUUUUUAUAUCCUCUUUAUCUAACCUUUUUGCAUUAUCAUAUUUAUCCCCAUUUAUCCUUUAGCCUAUUAUUUGUUAGCCUCAUUUGUAGCUUAUUCCUUUCCUAUAAAUUGACCGGACUUGACCCAAAAGUUUUAAGAUCUUGAAUUGAAAAUUUUAGAUGUCAAGGAGUGUGUAACUAAAGGAGGAAAAAUUUAUAGUGAAGCCCCAAAAUAAUAUAUAUUGGUGUGUUAGAAAAGUUCAUGUGUUUUUGGUUGGGAGUAUUAAAAUGAAAGACAAAUUAAUCUAAAGAAGUGAAUCAUGUGUUGAUAGAAAAUACUCCCUACUAAAGAUGUGUAAUCUAGCUUAAAGAGAUAGAGAAAAACAAAAUAGAGGUAUGAAGAUAAAAGUGGUAAAGAAUAGGUUGAUUAGAGAUGAGUUUAAUGCAAAGGGUGAUGCAUUAAAGUACUUAGAGAAGAUAGUCACUAUUAAUGGAUAGAAUAGCUUCGAAGCAUCCCUUAGCCUACAUUAUAAAUUGUACAGUCCUACUUGAUCUUGAGCUUUGAUAUUUUGAUAUUAAUGAAUUACUACACUAACAAAAAGCUUAUGGUUCAUCUUAUGUGACAUAUGAAUUCUUUGUGAGAGUGAGAGGAAUAUGAUUCUUACACUCAUUCUUAUUAUAAAUUGUAUAUUUAUGAGUGAAUAUGUGUGACUCUCUUAUGGUGAGGGCGCAUGUUUAAUGAUGGAAUGGGGACUUAUAUGAUCUCUUGGUUUAAUAAUAUGCAUGAGUUUUCCAACUUAGUAGAGUCAAUUCUUGUGGGUAGAAAGUCUUAAAGUAGUAUUCAUGUGGUUUCAAUUGUAAUAUGAAAUGCUUAAUAUAGGACUUGCUAUUCAUAUAGUCAUUUUAGUUCUAGAUUGAGUGUAAUAGUUCAAGUAGUGAUAUAGAGUUUUCCUUGGUUGUUCUUAGUUUAAGGAGUUGUUCAAGGACGAACAAGGCUUUACGUAUGGGUGGUGAUCUUAAGCAUAUUUUUGCACCUAAGUGUCAUUAUCUAUGAGAGUUUAUCUUAGUUUUGAGGAUAAAUUGAUGGGCUUGAUAAAGUAUAAAGUGUGUAUUUAUGUGAUAAUUUGCAUGUUUAGAGUGUUUAUGAUGUAUUUGAAACAAGUCAAGAGUUAGAAGAAUCAAAUAGAGUUUAGACGAGAAAACUAGUGAUGCUAGCAUGAGCUAUGAUUGUUUUAGUGUAUUUUGAUGAGAUCUAUGUGUUGUAUGGACUAAUGUUUUUUAUGAUUUAUUGUAUUAUACAAAUUUAGAAUACAAUGAAUCUAAAUUAACUCUACUAAUAGGACACAAGGAGUUGAAAAACAAGUAACAAGUAGACGAGAGG
Molecule: long non-coding RNA, 2396 nt
Filed under: Capsicum annuum
Lineage: Eukaryota; Viridiplantae; Streptophyta; Magnoliopsida; Solanales; Solanaceae
Description: long non-coding RNA (CANN_LNC018786)
Source: RNAcentral